CCUACGGGUGGCUGCAGUGGGGAAUAUUGGACAAUGGGGGGAACCCUGAUCCAGCCAUGCCGCGUGUGUGAAGAAGGCCCUCGGGUUGUAAAGCACUUUCAGUGAGGAAGAACGCCUGGUGGUUAAUACCCAUCAGGAAAGACAUCACUCACAGAAGAAGCACCGGCUAACUCCGUGCCAGCAGCCGCGGUAAUACGGAGGGUGCGAGCGUUAAUCGGAAUUACUGGGCGUAAAGCGCGCGUAGGUGGCUUGAUAAGCCGGUUGUGAAAGCCCCGGGCUCAACCUGGGAACGGCAUCCGGAACUGUCAAGCUAGAGUGCAGGAGAGGAAGGUAGAAUUCCCGGUGUAGCGGUGAAAUGCGUAGAGAUCGGGAGGAAUACCAGUGGCGAAGGCGGCCUUCUGGACUGACACUGACACUGAGGUGCGAAAGCGUGGGUAGCAAACAGGAUUAUAUAUCCGAGUAGUC
This 465-nucleotide ribosomal RNA is filed under the name Vreelandella stevensii. RNAcentral describes it as "partial 16S ribosomal RNA". It matches the Rfam family "Bacterial small subunit ribosomal RNA", at positions 338 to 795 of the family's 1533-position model. Lineage: Bacteria; Pseudomonadati; Pseudomonadota; Gammaproteobacteria; Oceanospirillales; Halomonadaceae. The record is from RNAcentral.